This 764-nucleotide ribosomal RNA is filed under the name uncultured archaeon. RNAcentral describes it as "bacterial SSU rRNA". It matches the Rfam family "Archaeal small subunit ribosomal RNA", at positions 20 to 769 of the family's 1478-position model. The record is from RNAcentral.
GACCCGACUGCUAUUUGGGUGAGGAUAAGCCAUGCGAGUUGAAUGGGAUACCUAAAUUUCCCAUGGCAAACUGCUCAGUAACACAUGAUCAACUUACCCUAUAGAGAAAAAUAACCUCGGGAAACUGAGGAUAAUAUUUCAUAGUUGAAUAGGCUUGGAAAAGUUUUUCAAUUAAAGGGAUAAAAAAAAUGGUUUUUAUCUGCUAUAGGAUAGGAUCGUGGACGAUUAUGGUUGUUGGUGAGGUAACGGCUCACCAAGCCGAUAAUCGAUAGGGGCCGUGAGAGCGGGAGCCCCGAGAUGGGUACUGAGACAACGACCCAGGCCUUACGAGGCGCAGCAGGCGCGGAACCUCCGCAAUACACGAAAGUGUGACGGGGUUACCCAAAGUGUUCAAUUCUGAACUGUGGUAGGUGAGUAAUGUUCCCUACUAGAAAGGAGAGGGCAAGGCUGGUGCCAGCCGCCGCGGUAAAACCAGCUCUUCAAGUGGUCGGGAUAAUUAUUGGGCUUAAAGUGUCCGUAGCCGGUUUAGUAAGUUCCUGGUAAAAUCGGGUAGCUUAGCUAUCUGUAUGCUAGGAAUACUGCUAUACUAGAGGGCGGGAGAGGUCUGAGGUACUACAGGGGUAGGGGUGAAAUCUUAUAAUCCUUGUAGGACCACCAGUGGCGAANGCGUCAGACUGGAACGCGCCUGACGGUGAGGGACGAAAGCCAGGGGAGCGAACCGGAUUAGAUACCCGGGUAGUCCUGGCCGUAAACGAUGCAUACUA